Molecule: ribosomal RNA, 725 nt
Filed under: uncultured Gammaproteobacteria bacterium
Lineage: Bacteria; Pseudomonadati; Pseudomonadota; Gammaproteobacteria
Description: bacterial SSU rRNA
Rfam family: Bacterial small subunit ribosomal RNA
Source: RNAcentral
UGCCAGCAGCCGCGGUAAUACAGAGGGUGCAAGCGUUAAUCGGAAUUACUGGGCGUAAAGCGCGCGUAGGCGGCUAUUUAAGUCGGGUGUGAAAGCCCCGGGCUCAACCUGGGAAUUGCAUCCGAUACUGAAUGGCUAGAGUAUGAGAGAGGGAGGUAGAAUUCCACGUGUAGCGGUGAAAUGCGUAGAUAUGUGGAGGAAUACCGGUGGCGAAGGCGGCCUCCUGGCUUAAUACUGACGCUGAGGUGCGAAAGCGUGGGGAUCAAACAGGAUUAGAUACCCUGGUAGUCCACGCCGUAAACGAUGUCAACUAGCCGUUGGGAACCUUAGUGUUCUUGGUGGCGCAGCUAACGCGAUAAGUUGACCGCCUGGGGAGUACGGUCGCAAGAUUAAAACUCCAAAUGAAUUUGACGGGGGCCCGCACAAGCGGUGGAGCAUGUGGUUUAAUUCGACGCAACGCGAAGAACCUUACCAGGUCUUGACAUCCAGAGAACUUUUGUAGAGAUACAUUGGUGCCUUCGGGAGCUCUGAGACAGGUGCUGCAUGGCUGUCCGUCAGCUCGUGUCCGUGAGAUGUUGGGGUUAAGUCCCGCAACGAGCGCAACCCUUGUCAUUAGUGGCUACAUUUAGUGGGCACUCUAAUGAGACUGCCGGUGACAAACCCGAAGAAAGGUGGGGAUGACCUCAAGUCCUCAUGGCCCUUAUAGGUGGGGCUACACACGUCAU